GUUGAAAAGAAUAAAAAUCCUCUUCUCUCUCUCUCUCUCUCUCUCUAAAAGAAUCCUGGCGUCCUCUCUUUUUUCAAUUCGUAUUUACUUUAAUUUCUGGAUCUCUCCUACCUGUUAUCUCAUCAUCAGUCAUAUUCCAUUGAUAAUCAUGUUUCUCUAGAUCUCGACAUCUCAGUCACUACUCUCAAAUUCUGGUUUUUGUUUCUGUCGACGACACUUGUACCAAUUGUAGAUCUAUAUUUGAAACUUAUAAUCUAUCGAUGAGGCCUAUACAUAUUUGAAACUUUCUUUUAAUUUAUCGAUGAGAUGUUUAGCGGAGGGACGGGAAUAUGUUACAGAUCUGAUUAGUUAAGCAGGUUUGGCUAUAUAGGUUGAGAUGGUUGUUUAUUAAUUCGAAUCAUACAGAAAUGCCACACGUGGAUGAGAAAUUCAAGACUGAAGGAGAUCAAAUUCAGCUCAUGUAUCUACUGUCUCUGAGCAAUCAUUUGGAUGAAGCGUCUUAUCUCAAGUAGUAAAGCAAGUUAGGGAGUGUAUUGCCAGAGCCACCUCAGUUUUAGGUGAUCUUUUUGUUGCACAGUUUCGUACUCCGUGAUACUUUUUGUCGCUGUGAGAGAUUGAGCAUGGUAUUUGUAAAAUGCGGUUGCUUUUAUUAAUAGUUUUUCUUCUUCCUUCAUUUUUUGGUAUAUUUCUUGUUGUAGCUUUAUAUUUUAUUCAAGAUCAUGUGCACUCUGGCAAUUUAGGUAUGCAAUUCUAGGUUACAAAUAAUCCAAGUUGAGUACUUGCAUCUAAAUAUAAAAAAAUUAAAAAAGCUCAGCUUCUCUACGUUUUGGUUUUGAAUAUUCCAUUCUUAACAUGGUCCCUGGAGCAGGCAAUUAAGUAAACAAUAUAGAUGACCCAUUUUCAAUUUUUUUUUAGUUUAUAUUUUUAAAUUUGCAGCCCUAGAACCUUGCUAUGUUGUUAUGUUGUAACUUUUUUUUUUUUAAUUCCCGUUUUGUUAAAAAAAAAAUUAUUUUGAUUGAACAAGCUGCCAAUGUCAUGAAACAAACAAAUGACUUUUUGGGCUGUCUUCAAGUCCCAAUUGACACAGCAUGCCCAAAAUUCAUUGUUGUAUGAGGACCUAUAUGAUGUCUUAUAAACUAAUACUUUAGGUGUUGCAUUUCUUUUCCAUGUCUUAGUUUGAUUUCAAGACUGGUCUUCUGAAUUUUGUCAUUUUGGACCUUCUGUUUAAAAUUACAAUAAAUGAUCUGUGUUCCAACCAUAAGUUUUAUUUUUUAUUUUUUUCAAUAUUCUUUAUAUUUUGUCCAUGUAUAUAGAAACUUAUGCAGAGGAUAUUAUAUAGCCUGUAGAAAUGUUAAAUGCAUUUGAACUGUUGCCAAGUUGGUGUCUUCUUUUGACAGAAAAUGGUUGGUACAGAAAUUUUGUGUUUCUUUGCUAUUCAGAAAAGGUCCGUGCAUUAUGCAAUUUUUCUUGUUGUAUGCAUUUCUAUCCUUGUUGGCUGUUGCAACCCUAGUUUGAUGGUUUAACUCUUGUUUUCAUGGAUCUUGGAAUUUAUGAAUAAUGCCAAUAUAAAUGGGGGUUUUGCUUCUUGCUGAAGUGCAAGUAAGGUAUCAUUCUUUAUGAGGGUAAGAUUUGCUAUAGUGACAUUGGUGAUGCAGUGUUACUGCCAAAGCUUUGUAAAUUAUACUUUUUCACCAGGAUUUCUACAGUGAUAGUUGAGAUAAUCUAUUUCUAUUUCCCUCUUUUUCCCCUUUUCCCCCUUUUUCCUUUCCUUUCUCUGCAUUUUACAUGUUGCUUUAUAAGUUUUCACUGGAAAAAUCAUUACUAAAUUGGAUGUUCGCAUAUACUACAAUUAUAGUAUUUCUGGAUACUAAACUGGAUGCCAUGGUUUUAUUACAAUUAUUAUAUAUCACGAAUAAGUUUUAAGGAAAAACAAAAAUUCUGUCAAUGAAGAAAAAUUAUAUUGUUCAAGAUGUGGACACACUCACCUGUGGAUUUUUGUUCCGUGCUGUAGGAUAUUGGUGCUGUAGUCAAACUUGAUAUAGAUUUUACCUUUUAUCUGGUUGAUCUAUGUUAUUUUAUUAUUGUUAUUAUUAUUUUUAUGUUUGCUUCAUUUGAUGCCUAUUGCGGUUAUCAACUACAAAAUAAGAGGUGGUCCUGUCUUUUAAGGGGUAUAUGAACUGUUGCAUUUGAACUGUUGUCUAUUGCAGUUAAAUUGCCCAAGAUAAAAAAUAAAAAAAAGGGGCAAUUUUUUUCUUGAUUCGAUUACUCUGACUUUUGGUUAUUAAUUUAUUAUUUAUACUAAUCAAUUUUGGUCGAUUAUUUUCGUUUUGGUGAAACGAAUGUCGCUGUACUGUUAUCCUCCCACGAUUUGCUCGUGUUGUCCUUCGAGAUAUGCUCAUGUGCUCUCAUGAACUCUCUAAAUUUACUAAUUUUUCUUCUGUAAAUUUAUACUUUAUUUUUUUUA
Rosa chinensis is the source of this 2464-nucleotide long non-coding RNA. RefSeq lists it as uncharacterized. Lineage: Eukaryota; Viridiplantae; Streptophyta; Magnoliopsida; Rosales; Rosaceae. The transcript is spliced from 3 exons. The record is from RefSeq and is a predicted model, not a curated record.